UGUAUUCACUACUGUCAGUUGCUCUGGAUAAGAGCGUCUGCUAAAUGACAAAUG
Molecule: non-coding RNA, 54 nt
Organism: Salmo salar (Atlantic salmon)
Lineage: Eukaryota; Metazoa; Chordata; Actinopteri; Salmoniformes; Salmonidae
Source: Rfam